This 253-nucleotide ribosomal RNA is filed under the name uncultured bacterium. RNAcentral describes it as "partial 16S ribosomal RNA". It matches the Rfam family "Bacterial small subunit ribosomal RNA", at positions 524 to 776 of the family's 1533-position model. The record is from RNAcentral.
UACGAAGGGGGCUAGCGUUGCUCGGAAUCACUGGGCGUAAAGCGCACGUAGGCGGCUUUCUAAGUCAGGGGUGAAAUCCUGGAGCUCAACUCCAGAACUGCCUUUGAUACUGGAAAGCUUGAGUUCGGGAGAGGUGAGUGGAACUGCGAGUGUAGAGGUGAAAUUCGUAGAUAUUCGCAAGAACACCAGUGGCGAAGGCGGCUCGCUGGCCCGAUACUGACGCUGAGGUGCGAAAGCGUGGGGAGCAAACAGG